Molecule: long non-coding RNA, 904 nt
Organism: Brassica napus (rape)
Lineage: Eukaryota; Viridiplantae; Streptophyta; Magnoliopsida; Brassicales; Brassicaceae
Exons: 5
Source: RefSeq, a predicted model, not a curated record
CGAGUGAGUUACGUGAUUGAACAAACUGUGAUUCUACGGUUUACAGUUGGGCUGGAUAUCUUAUUUGGGCUGAUAACAAAAACAAAAAAGUUAGCCCCAUUAAGAAACAAUAACCUUUUGAAUUCUAAAGGUUCGUCGUGUUCUUUGUUCUCUGAUCUGUUAGACCCAUGAUUCAUUGAUUCAACGCCAUUGAAGACCUUCUCAACUCCUUAGCCCCACUCCAACUAUUAUUACUCAUUCAAUGCAUUUUGCCUCUCUUCAAGUCGGUGGAACUCCAGCUAUAAAAAGUCCAAAGCUUGCGUUUCAGCUUGCAUUGCUCGCCUUAACAGCUCAAACAAGCGAACCCCUUGAUGUGAUCGCUUCAAGAUUGUAUUUUUAAUAUUCAGUGAGUUAUGAGAUGACUGGUGAUCUUGCUGAGAUUUUUGGUACUCAAUCUGCCCUUUCACCAUUCUGCAACACUUCGUCAUGAUGAGUUGGGUCAAGAAACACUUCUGACUUGAUUGCUUCGCAACUACCUGUACUACAACAACCUUUAUGACCACGAAGAGAAGUUGAGAUCAAAAGAAACAAGAUUUGAGAUGAAGGGAAGCCAAAAGUGAGAAGAGUAUCUGUUGUGUUUUCAGUUUCACCCGAAGAAAAAUGUAAUAUGAGGAAUCUUCUUCUCCUGCAAAAAAGCUUAAAAAAGAAGAAAAAUAGUCCAGUCUCCAACACGAGAUCGUGUUUUAAAUUUGCAGUCAUGGCCUGUGAUUUAUAUGUUUUAGAUGUAAAAAUUUCUGUGCUAGUUUGUUUUAAAAGUUUUGUCAUUUAGUUUGGGUUUUGGACAUAGCACUUUGUUUUUUUGGUCAAUUUUGACUAAAUACUCUCUAUUUAAUGAUUCGGAAUAAAAUAAAAUGGUUCAGUUUGA